CAGAAGCGCUUCCAUCCAAGGUCAAACAAAUAUCCCUAUAUUUUUUCCCUCUCCAAAUCCUACAACUUUUAUUUAAAAAAUUUUAUUAUUUAACUCGGUGUUUUUGAGAUAUUUGAGUGGAUUGUUUAAAAUGAGACACCUUGUAUUUCUCAUUACUCUUGAUAGCAUUGCAGGCAUAAUAAAUACAAAAUAUAUUUUGUAUUUAUAAAAAAUUAUAAAGUAAGUAAUUUUCCCAACUCGCCAAUAUACGCGCAACGCGCAAAAGUACAAGUACAGUGAGUAUACAAAGUACAGUAAGUAUAUAGAUACAAAAAUACAGUGUCAACUACUGUAAAUUAUUUUAACCUGUAAAUAACAGGUGUAAAAUCCAUGAAAAUAAUACAAGCUAUUGUAUGUCUGCACAACUGGCUUCGUAAGCAAGAUAUCAGAGUAAACCAAUAUGUUGAUGAAGCACUUGUUGAUCAAAAUAGACUCGAUGAGUUUGUUCCUGGAUCUUGGAGAAAAGAUAUAAGAGAUAGUGCAUUAAAAGAUAUUACUCUAUGUGGUAAUAACAAUAGUACGCGAAACGCAAUCGAAAUUCGUGAAAACUUCUGCAAUUAUUUUAAUACCGAAGGAGCUGUACCAUGGCAAUUUAAUAAUAAUAUUUAAGCAAUGCUUCUAUAUACUUAUUCUUUACAUCAGAUCUUCAAAUCAACAAUGAUUCACUAUACAGUUCAUAGUUAGUUGUCUUUAAUGAUAUGUAAUGUCAUGUCUCAAUACUCUAAUUACAUCGACACGCUAGUUCAAGAAUAUUCAGUUAAACUUUUAGUCGGAUUAAUUUCGCGGAUGUGUCAAAAUAAUAAGAAAACUUGACAGCGAUUAAUAAUGCUUGUGGAAAAGCAACGACUUACAUCAGUAGACAGCAUCCAAUCAUGUAUUACAAACCUGUUCAAGAUUAUAUCAAAAUAGGAAGUACUUGAGGUAUCUAUCGCGUGAGAAAUACGAGAUGAUUGUUGAUUAGACAAUAAAGCAAUUUUUUAUUUUAAGCAUAUAAAUCUGAUCGAAUAUAUUCAUGUUUAAAUUAUUUUACAUUUAAUUCUUGGUAAUAUUCUCAUAAAUUGCAU
Long non-coding RNA from Linepithema humile (Argentine ant), 1103 nucleotides. RefSeq lists it as uncharacterized. The record is from RefSeq and is a predicted model, not a curated record. NCBI's taxonomy places the organism in Eukaryota, Metazoa, Arthropoda, Insecta, Hymenoptera, Formicidae.